GAGGCUAUAGCUUAAUUGGUAAAGCAUACUACUCAUGAUGGUACUUAGUAAGUGUUCGAGUCACUUUAGCCUUA
This 74-nucleotide transfer RNA is filed under the name Esteya vermicola. RNAcentral's name for it is "tRNA-Met". It matches the Rfam family "tRNA". Rfam says of the family: Transfer RNA (tRNA) molecules are approximately 80 nucleotides in length. Lineage: Eukaryota; Fungi; Ascomycota; Sordariomycetes; Ophiostomatales; Ophiostomataceae. The record is from RNAcentral.